CGGCGACGGAAUCGGACGUGUUUCCGAACAAAUACUUUGUACGAAUCAUUUAAUCAUCUCUCACACUUAUUUAUCAAACGAUGCGCAAUCUAUACCGACGCCCUUCGCCACGACGAAGAUCCGUGAAAUCAUGUGCGCCCCUCUGACGACAUAAAAGGACAACGUACAUCGCAUCCUUGCUAAUUGGUCCUGAGAUAUCGUCUGGAGCAUCACGAUUACGCAAUCGUGGAGUUAAAAACAACUAAUGAAAAAUUAUACACUUUUUCGAGCAAUGCCAGGCAAAAACGGCUCGAUGGUCGUUAUUACGAGUGACUGCAAACGACAGCUGCCUAGCGAUAAGAAGACUUACCGGUAGGAAAUUUUCCACGUCCAAACCGUAAGGCUUGUCAGCGCUCAUCGGCACUAAUUCCUCCUUGUCCGU
Molecule: long non-coding RNA, 421 nt
Organism: Camponotus floridanus (Florida carpenter ant)
Lineage: Eukaryota; Metazoa; Arthropoda; Insecta; Hymenoptera; Formicidae
Exons: 4
Source: RefSeq, a predicted model, not a curated record